UUUUUGUUUUUUUCUGGUUUGUCAGGGUAGCUUACGCGUUGUUAUUGAGGAAGAGAUCCAGUUGCAGCAGACAGCUGACACAGAAAGACAGAAACAGCUCCUGAAACACUGAGAUACACUUUAAAGUGUGCCACAGAUCAACCAUUCUGAGAGAGAUGGUGUGAUUGAUCAUCAACGCCUGCAGGUACGUGGUGCUGAAGAUCCGGGCUGCAGUGAGAGGCGAGCCGCAGACGGAGAAAAGCAGCACCACAUGUAGCCAGGCAAGGCAGGCAACUGCUAGGGCCCCGGACCAGAAGGGGGCCCCCAAAGAAGGACAAAUGGACAGCAGGAUGAGUCGGGAUGGAUCUGCCUUGAUCCCAAACCCGACACAGAGUGGGGGGGUCCUGCAGAAGGAAGAGUGCGGAUCCUGAAAGUAAACCCAGAGCCGGAGUGUAGUGUGGACGGACUAUAAUGAGGAGACAAACAAAUACACUACACAGAAACACACACAGAGAAACAAGCACAUCCUGGUAGAUGCUCUUCUUCUACUCGACUUUUCAAAUAUAAUGAAAUGCUAAAUUGCUGAUUUCUUUUUCAAAUAUAAUCUCUGCCAUGAAAUGUAUAGGUUCAUUUAUUGCACUGACAUGCACAAUUAUGUGUGUGUGCUCCCUCCCCAGUCUCACCACACAAAUACUGACACCACCAUUCAUAAAAAAACAUGACAAAUAAACUCUGACCCUCAUUGAACUCCCACCUGCUUCCAGCUCUCGGUUCACUUUCCCGCUCGUCCUCCAUCCAGUGGAGAGAGCAGUCUGAGUUGGCGGAGAGAAUGAAAGCCUGAUCACCAAUUCCCCAGCAGAGGAACGGAUCAGUCCGGAUAAAUAUGAAAUACUCUGCUGAUAAAGAUGCACCAAGUCAUUUAUUCAUUGGCCUGUUCUUUUUCCCUGUAACUGUAACUCUUUUCAGUAAAAAAGAGCAAAGUUCUUGAGUUA
Molecule: long non-coding RNA, 971 nt
Organism: Trematomus bernacchii (emerald rockcod)
Lineage: Eukaryota; Metazoa; Chordata; Actinopteri; Perciformes; Nototheniidae
Exons: 3
Source: RefSeq, a predicted model, not a curated record